RNAcentral lists this ribosomal RNA (253 nucleotides) under uncultured bacterium. RNAcentral describes it as "partial 16S ribosomal RNA". It matches the Rfam family "Bacterial small subunit ribosomal RNA", at positions 524 to 776 of the family's 1533-position model. The record is from RNAcentral.
UUCAGAGGUCCCGAGCGUUGUUCGGAUUCACUGGGCGUAAAGGGUGCGUAGGUGGUUAGGUAAGUCCGAUGUGAAAUCUCCAGGCUCAACCUGGAAAUGGCAUUGGAUACUAUUUAGCUUGAGGAGUGGAGGGGGGACUGGAAUUCUCGGUGUAGCAGUGAAAUGCGUAGAUAUCGAGAGGAACACCAGUGGCGAAGGCGAGUCCCUGGACACUUCCUGACACUGAGGCACGAAAGCUAGGGGAGCAAACAGG